RNAcentral lists this non-coding RNA (114 nucleotides) under Candidatus Parcubacteria bacterium. RNAcentral describes it as "Parcubacteria Magasanikbacteria SAM-I sequence". It matches the Rfam family "SAM riboswitch aptamer (S box leader)". Rfam says of the family: The SAM riboswitch is found upstream of a number of genes which code for proteins involved in methionine or cysteine biosynthesis in Gram-positive bacteria. The SAM riboswitch acts at the level of transcription termination control. The record is from RNAcentral. Lineage: Bacteria; Candidatus Parcubacteria.
UCUUUAUCAAGAAGAGACGAGGGAUUUGGCCCCAUGACUCUCUACCAACCUGUUCGCGACAGCUUGUCGCCCGCUCAAGGUGGUCCGUCCAACCCGCACCGGGAAAGAUACGUC